AUUUUGCAAGAAUUAGUACAAAAGUGGGAUUUUGUAGGGUAACAAUCAUUGCCUUCUAAUGAAGUUAUGGUCCAUUGAUUCUACAUUUUUUUAUUAACCUGUUUUAAUUCUAAGUCAUAAUAGGUAAAGUUAUAGCUUUUGUUUACUAUAUUUAUUUAUGUGCCAGGUUAGAGUACCAUUGCUUCUACCUUUCCCUCCUUUCUUUUUUAAUUCUAUUUUAUUCUGGGUCUGUCUUUUCCCCAUGUUAAUUUUUGUUGUUUCAAAGUAGGCAAUAUUUUCAACCAUUGCUCAUUUUAUAUUCAUUAUUGUUUCAGAAGCCUGUCGAAGUAAAUGCUGAAACGAAACAGGAUUUGAAAAGUUUUAAGCUUAUAUUGGAAUAUAUAAAAGCCUUGCCUGUAAGUGUUGAACUACAGUUUACUCUUCAUUAUAUAGCAUGAACUUCUCUCUUACACACUCGCUCCCUCACUGACACGACUUCAUCAAUGCCAUUCUUGAAAACAUUACGGUAUUUUGUUUUAUGGUGCAAUUUGCAUAGAGGAGUAAUUGAAUCUAUUUUGUUUUCUGGUGCAAUUUUUUAUGAUAUUUUGCAAGUGGUAUGUCUCUAUUCUAAAUGUUUGUUUCUUUCCUGUUUGGCUGGAACUGAUGACUGAUAGGAGCGUCAAAUAAUAAUGCUUUUCAAAUGCAAGCGGAGAAUCAAUUGCUUUCGCCACUCGUUCCUGUUCGUCAAUUGAGCUUCCUCAGGUUGCUGGUCCAUCAUGGGCACCCUUUGCUUCUUGGAUCACUGGUUGAAAUGAAAUUUUGUGAUUU
This is a non-coding RNA of Arachis ipaensis, 807 nucleotides long. NCBI's taxonomy places the organism in Eukaryota, Viridiplantae, Streptophyta, Magnoliopsida, Fabales, Fabaceae. The record is from RefSeq and is a predicted model, not a curated record.